This 465-nucleotide ribosomal RNA is filed under the name Vreelandella stevensii. RNAcentral describes it as "partial 16S ribosomal RNA". It matches the Rfam family "Bacterial small subunit ribosomal RNA", at positions 338 to 795 of the family's 1533-position model. Lineage: Bacteria; Pseudomonadati; Pseudomonadota; Gammaproteobacteria; Oceanospirillales; Halomonadaceae. The record is from RNAcentral.
CCUACGGGAGGCUGCAGUGGGGAAUAUUGGACAAUGGGCGAAAGCCUGAUCCAGCCAUGCCGCGUGUGUGAAGAAGGCCUUCGGGUUGUAAAGCACUUUCAGUGGGGAAGAAAGCCUUGGGGCUAAUACCCUCGAGGAAGGACAUCACCCACAGAAGAAGCACCGGCUAACACCGUGCCAGCAGCCGCGGUAAUACGGAGGGUGCGAGCGUUAAUCGGAAUUACUGGGCGUAAAGCGCGCGUAGGCGGUCUGAUAAGCCGGUUGUGAAAGCCCCGGGCUCAACCUGGGAACGGCAUCCGGAACUGUCAGGCUAGAGUGCAGGAGAGGAAGGUAGAAUUCCCGGUGUAGCGGUGAAAUGCGUAGAGAUCGGGAGGAAUACCAGUGGCGAAGGCGGCCUUCUGGACUGACACUGACGCUGAGGUGCGAAAGCGUGGGUAGCAAACAGGAUUAGAUACCCUGGUAGUC